This 595-nucleotide ribosomal RNA is filed under the name uncultured Bacteroidota bacterium. RNAcentral describes it as "bacterial SSU rRNA". It matches the Rfam family "Bacterial small subunit ribosomal RNA", at positions 122 to 715 of the family's 1533-position model. Lineage: Bacteria; Pseudomonadati; Bacteroidota. The record is from RNAcentral.
CAACCUGCCCACCACUUGGGGAUAACCUUGCGAAAGUAAGACUAAUACCCAAUGAUAUCUCUAGAAGACAUCUGAAAGAGAUUAAAGAUUUAUCGGUGAUGGAUGGGGAUGCGUCUGAUUAGCUUGUUGGCGGGGUAACGGCCCACCAAGGCAACGAUCAGUAGGGGUUCUGAGAGGAAGGUCCCCCACAUUGGAACUGAGACACGGUCCAAACUCCUACGGGAGGCAGCAGUGAGGAAUAUUGGUCAAUGGACGAGAGUCUGAACCAGCCAAGUAGCGUGCAGGAUGACGGCCCUAUGGGUUGUAAACUGCUUUUAUAAGGGAAUAAAGUGAGUCUCGUGAGGCUUUUUGCAUGUACCUUAUGAAUAAGGACCGGCUAAUUCCGUGCCAGCAGCCGCGGUAAUACGGAAGGUCCGGGCGUUAUCCGGAUUUAUUGGGUUUAAAGGGAGCGUAGGCCGGAGAUUAAGCGUGUUGUGAAAUGUAGACGCUCAACGUCUGCACUGCAGCGCGAACUGGUUCCCUUGAGUACGCACAAAGUGGGCGGAAUUCGUGGUGUAGCGGUGAAAUGCUUAGAUAUCACGAAGAACUCCGAUUG